RNAcentral lists this ribosomal RNA (443 nucleotides) under uncultured bacterium. RNAcentral describes it as "partial 16S ribosomal RNA". It matches the Rfam family "Bacterial small subunit ribosomal RNA", at positions 338 to 795 of the family's 1533-position model. The record is from RNAcentral.
CCUACGGGAGGCAGCAGUGGGGAAUAUUGGGCAAUGGGCGCAAGCCUGACCCAGCAACGCCGCGUGAAGGAAGAAGGCCCUCGGGUUGUAAACUUCUUUUAUUCGGGACGAAACAAAUGUCGGUUCCGAAUUAAUAAGCCACGGCUAACUACGGGCCAGCAGCCGCGUUAAUACGUAGGUGGCACGCGUUAUCCGGAUUUACUGGGUGUAAAGGUCGUGUAGGCGGGAGGGCAAGUCAGACGUGAAAUUCCAGGGCUCAACCCUGGAACUGCGUUUGAAACUGUUCUUCUUGAGUGAGGGAGAGGCAGGCGGAAUGCCGUGUGUAGCGGUGAAAUGCGUAGAUAUACGGAGGAACACCAGUGGCGAAGGCGGCCUGCUGGACAUUAACUGACGCUGAGGCGCGAAAGCGUGGGGAGCAAACAGGAUUAGAUACCCCUGUAGUC